Molecule: ribosomal RNA, 395 nt
Filed under: uncultured bacterium
Lineage: Bacteria
Description: bacterial SSU rRNA
Rfam family: Bacterial small subunit ribosomal RNA
Source: RNAcentral
GAUGAACGCUGGCGGCGUGCCUAACACAUGCAAGUCGAGCGAUUUACUUCGGUAAAGAGCGGCGGACGGGUGAGUAACGCGUGGGUAACCUGCCCUGUACACACGGAUAACAUACCGAAAGGUAUGCUAAUACGAGAUAAUAUGCUUUUAUCGCAUGGUAUAAGUAUCAAAGUUUUUGCGGUACAGGAUGGACCCGCGUCUGAUUAGCUAGUUGGUAAGGUAACGGCUUACCAAGGCGACGAUCAGUAGCCGACCUGAGAGGGUGAUCGGCCACAUUGGAACUGAGACACGGUCCAAACUCCUACGGGAGCAGCAGUGAGGAAUAUUGGUCAAUGGACGCAAGUCUGAACCAGCCAUGCCGCGUGCAGGAAGACGGCUCUAUGAGUUGUAAACUG